RNAcentral lists this long non-coding RNA (439 nucleotides) under Phoenix dactylifera (date palm). RNAcentral describes it as "long non-coding RNA (PDAC_LNC005431)". Lineage: Eukaryota; Viridiplantae; Streptophyta; Magnoliopsida; Arecales; Arecaceae. The record is from RNAcentral.
UUCUUAUGAGCUUAAGUUUUUGGAAUCAAUUUGUAACAACUCAGAACCUCAUCCAAAAAGGCUAGCUGGAAGAUAUUAUUUGGGUUCCUUAGUCCUGUAUAAGUACUCAAGAUCUUCUCAGCAAAUAAUCAAUGUGGGACUAAACACGCGCCCGCACAAGUCCUCACAUACUCUCUCCCGCUUAAACUCCGACGUUCUCAUCAGACUAAGGAUUCAUAUCCAUACAAAACUAAUCACAUGCACCAUGAUAGUCCCGUGGUCAAUCUCCAUUAACCCGUGCUCAAGUGUCCUCUAGUCCACAUAGACUAUGAGCCGAGUUCACUCUAAUACCAUUUGUAACAACCUAGGAUGUCAUCCAUAAAAGCUAGCUGAAAGGUAUUAUUUGGAUUCCUUAGUCCUGUACAAGUGUCCAAGAUCUUCUCGGCGAAUAACCGAUGUG